ACCACCUGGGGAUCUUGUUAAGAUGCAGGUUCUGAAUCAGUAGGUCUGUGAUGGGAUACGAGAUUCUGCAUUUCUAGCAAGCUCCCAGCUGGGGCCAA
RNAcentral lists this microRNA precursor (98 nucleotides) under Bos taurus (domestic cattle). Its description in RNAcentral is "mir-544 microRNA precursor family". It matches the Rfam family "mir-544 microRNA precursor family". Lineage: Eukaryota; Metazoa; Chordata; Mammalia; Artiodactyla; Bovidae. The record is from Rfam by way of RNAcentral. RNAcentral also lists the same sequence under 5 other names.